UACUCAGGGUGCAAGCGUUGUCCGGAAUUAUUGGGCGUAAAGAGCUUGUAGGCGGUUUGUCGCGUCUGCUGUGAAAUUUCGGGGCUCAACCCCGAACUUGCAGUGGGUACGGGCAGACUAGAGUGUGGUAGGGGAGACUGGAAUUCCUGGUGUAGCGGUGAAAUGCGCAGAUAUCAGGAGGAACACCGAUGGCGAAGGCAGGUCUCUGGGCCACUACUGACGCUGAGAAGCGAAAGCAUGGGGAGCGAACAGG
RNAcentral lists this ribosomal RNA (253 nucleotides) under uncultured bacterium. RNAcentral describes it as "partial 16S ribosomal RNA". It matches the Rfam family "Bacterial small subunit ribosomal RNA", at positions 524 to 776 of the family's 1533-position model. The record is from RNAcentral.